GACGAACGCUGGCGGCGUGCUUAACACAUGCAAGUCGAACGGAAAGGCCCUGCUUUUGUGGGGUGCUCGAGUGGCGAACGGGUGAGUAACACGUGAGUAACCUGCCCUUGACUUUGGGAUAACUUCAGGAAACUGGGGCUAAUACCGGAUAGGAGCUCCUGCUGCAUGGUGGGGGUUGGAAAGUUUCGGCGGUUGGGGAUGGACUCGCGGCUUAUCAGCUUGUUGGUGGGGUAGUGGCUUACCAAGGCUUUGACGGGUAGCCGGCCUGAGAGGGUGACCGGCCACAUUGGGACUGCGAUACGGCCCAGACUCCUACGGGAGGCAGCAGUGGGGAAUAUUGCACAAUGGGCGGAAGCCUGAUGCAGCAACGCCGCGUGCGGGAUGACGGCCUUCGGGUUGUAAACCGCUUUCGCCGGUGACGAAGCGUGAGUGACGGUAAUGGGUAAAGAAGCACCGGCUAACUACGUG
RNAcentral lists this ribosomal RNA (468 nucleotides) under uncultured bacterium. RNAcentral's name for it is "partial 16S ribosomal RNA". It matches the Rfam family "Bacterial small subunit ribosomal RNA", at positions 28 to 507 of the family's 1533-position model. The record is from RNAcentral.